RNAcentral lists this non-coding RNA (259 nucleotides) under Capsicum annuum. RNAcentral's name for it is "Bacterial small subunit ribosomal RNA". It matches the Rfam family "Bacterial small subunit ribosomal RNA", at positions 552 to 817 of the family's 1533-position model. Lineage: Eukaryota; Viridiplantae; Streptophyta; Magnoliopsida; Solanales; Solanaceae. The record is from Rfam by way of RNAcentral.
UAUUGAUCAUAAAGGGCACGUAGACAGUGAAUUAGUCGAAAGCAAAAGUCACCAAAAAUUAAUGGAAAGCUCUUGAAACCAAUUCACUUGCGUAAGAGAGAGGAGAGUGAAAUUUCGUGUGCUUGAGAGAAAUCUAGAGAUCUACGAAGGAACCCCAAAAGUGAAUGCCGUAGGUCCCUACUGAUAUGCUGGGUGUAAAAGCACGAAGAGUGAACAAGAUUUGAUAACUUUGUAUCCAAUGUUGCAAACGAUGAGCGAU